GCCUACUGCUACCGUUAUCAAGUUUCCUGCUGGAGUGGGGCUGUUGAUUCUUGUCUAGCCCAUGAGGACAAAUACGUCAAUUCACCACAAGUGAAAAUUAGAUCAACAGACAGGGACCUUCUCUUGGGAAUAUUCCAUAUGAGAAUAACAAGAAAAAAAUGCUGUAUGUAAAGCUUCGUUGUGAGGAUCCUGCCAUGCUGGAGCACGUUGAGCAGCUGCUGUCUGAGUUGAGGCCGGCCGGGGACGCUGCUGCUGCUGACGAUGACGAUGACGAUGAUGAAGAUGGCCCUUCUAUUGAUGACAUUGGGGACAACUUCAUCCACAGUAGUGAUGAGGACGAGGAUGCCAUGGAACAUUAGGAGGAAUGUUUUUUUUCUUUUUUCCAAACCUUCAAUG
Engraulis encrasicolus (European anchovy) is the source of this 396-nucleotide long non-coding RNA. RefSeq lists it as uncharacterized. The transcript is spliced from 3 exons. The record is from RefSeq and is a predicted model, not a curated record. Lineage: Eukaryota; Metazoa; Chordata; Actinopteri; Clupeiformes; Engraulidae.